AAAGAGGAGCGAGAGCCCGGCGAUGGCGGCUGCGCCGGCCUUGAAGCACUGGCGCACCACGCUGGAGCGGGUGGAGAAGUUCGUGUCGCCGCUCUACUUUACCGACUGUAACCUCCGCGGCAGGCUUUUUGGGGCCAGCUGCCCUGUGGCUGUGCUCUCCAGCUUCCUGACGCCGGAGAGACUUCCCUACCAGGAGGCAGUCCAGCGGGACUUCCGCCCCGCGCAGGUCGGCGACAGCUUCGGACCCACAUGGUGGACCUGCUGGUUCCGGGUGGAGCUGACCAUCCCAGAGGCAUGGGUGGGCCAGGAAGUUCACCUUUGCUGGGAAAGUGAUGGAGAAGGUCUGGUGUGGCGUGAUGGAGAACCUGUCCAGGGUUUAACCAAAGAGGGUGAGAAGACCAGCUAUGUCCUGACUGACAGGCUGGGGGAAAGAGACCCCCGAAGCCUCACUCUCUAUGUGGAAGUUGCCUGCAAUGGGCUCCUAGGGGCCGGGAAGGGAAGCAUGAUUGCAGCCCCUGACCCUGAGAAGAUGUUCCAGCUGAGCCGGGCUGAGCUAGCCGUGUUCCACCGGGAUGUCCACAUGCUCCUGGUGGAUCUGGAGCUGCUGCUGGGCAUAGCCAAGCCUGGCUUUGGCCCUUCAAAGAGACUGUGAGGAAAUG
RNAcentral lists this small RNA (659 nucleotides) under Pongo abelii (Sumatran orangutan). RNAcentral's name for it is "processed transcript". Lineage: Eukaryota; Metazoa; Chordata; Mammalia; Primates; Hominidae. The record is from RNAcentral.